This is a non-coding RNA of Oryza glumipatula, 206 nucleotides long. The record is from Rfam. NCBI's taxonomy places the organism in Eukaryota, Viridiplantae, Streptophyta, Magnoliopsida, Poales, Poaceae.
AGUAAAUUGAUUUGUGGUUUUCGUGUCCAACUUUUGACCAUCCGUCUUAUAUGAAACUUUUUUAUGAUUAGUAUUUUUCUUUUUAUUAGAUGAUAAAAUAUGAAUAAUAGUUUAUACGUGAAUUAUCUUUUUGAAUCUUUCCAUAAUUUUUUGAAAUAAACCGGACGGUCCAAGGUUAUAUACGGAAACCCACGAAUCAACUUAUU